UGAUGAGUUAGAGGUGCGUGUCCAAUGAGUAGGAAUUUCGAGAGUGACGUCGAUGACAAAUUCUAAAAGGUGUCCACGCCGAAGUCUUGUUUGUGUCAACCAAACUUGUGCUGGUGUUAUGUUGAAUAAAUUUAACACUGUCACUACAAUUGUAGUGGAGGACUAAUGAUCGG
Molecule: regulatory RNA element, 173 nt
Organism: Turicibacter sp. H121
Lineage: Bacteria; Bacillati; Bacillota; Erysipelotrichia; Erysipelotrichales; Turicibacteraceae
Rfam family: Lysine riboswitch aptamer
About the family: Riboswitches are metabolite binding domains within certain messenger RNAs that serve as precision sensors for their corresponding targets. Allosteric rearrangement of mRNA structure is mediated by ligand binding, and this results in modulation of gene expression. This family includes riboswitches that sense lysine in a number of genes involved in lysine metabolism, including lysC.
Source: Rfam